AACGCACAUUGCGCCCGCCAGUAUUCUGACGGGCAUGCCUGUUCGAGCGUCAUUUCAACCCUCAGGCACAGCCUGGUGAUGGGGCUUCUUCUCGCGGCGUCACUGCCGCGGGGCCCUGAAAAGCAGCGGCGGGCCCUGCCGGACUCCGAGCGCAGUAAUUCUUCUCGCUUAGGGGAUCGGUAGGCGCCCUGCCUUCUAUCAUUUUAUCUAAGGUUGACCUCGGAUCAGGUAGGAAUACCCGCUGAACUUAA
RNAcentral lists this unclassified non-coding RNA (251 nucleotides) under uncultured fungus. RNAcentral's name for it is "partial contains 5.8S ribosomal RNA, internal transcribed spacer 2, and large subunit ribosomal RNA". Lineage: Eukaryota; Fungi. The record is from RNAcentral.